This 370-nucleotide ribosomal RNA is filed under the name uncultured bacterium. RNAcentral's name for it is "bacterial SSU rRNA". It matches the Rfam family "Bacterial small subunit ribosomal RNA", at positions 527 to 896 of the family's 1533-position model. The record is from RNAcentral.
GGAGGGUGCGAGCGUUAAUCGGAAUGACUGGGCGUAAAGGGCAUGUAGGCGGAUAAUUAAGUUAGGUGUGAAAGCCCUGGGCUCAACCUAGGAAUUGCACUUAAAACUGGUUAACUAGAGUAUUGUAGAGGAAGGUAGAAUUCCACGUGUAGCGGUGAAAUGCGUAGAGAUGUGGAGGAAUACCGGUGGCGAAGGUGGCCUUCUGGACAGAUACUGACGCUGAGAUGCGAAAGCGUAGGGAGCAAACAGGAUUAGAUACCCUGGUAGUCCACGCUGUAAACGAUGUCGAUUUGGAGUUUGUUGCCUAGAGUGAUGGGCUCCGAAGCUAACGCGAUAAAUCGACCGCCUGGGGAGUACGACCGCAAGGUUA